This is a long non-coding RNA of Alligator sinensis (Chinese alligator), 1257 nucleotides long. RefSeq lists it as uncharacterized. NCBI's taxonomy places the organism in Eukaryota, Metazoa, Chordata, Crocodylia, Alligatoridae. The transcript is spliced from 3 exons. The record is from RefSeq and is a predicted model, not a curated record.
CAGUUAAUAGAUACCUCAGUAAGAGUAACAAAUAUUAAGACUACUUGGACAUGAUCACAAUUGACUGAUUUAAAUGGUGUCCAUUGAUUUCAAUAGAGUUGUUCCAUUUUAUACGAGGUGAGGAUUUUCUCACUUAGCUCUUUAUAGCUCACACAAUAUGGUCCUGUUGGUUAAAAGUACUGCAGCCCACUGCCUAAAGACUUUUAGCAAUGUUAUGUUGAACUGAAAUUGAGUGUGGUGGUAAACUGCAGCCAAAGCAUCAUAAAAGACUUUCUCCCCAGUAUUUAUACACAGAAGGUCUCUUCCACAGCUAAUCUACAGCAAUUUCCUUCUCCUCCUGGGCUCUAUAGAGGACAGAUCAGGACUGCUGCACAUGAUGGGGGCACUCUGACCACAAGUUCUUUUCAUCCAUAGAAAUGCUUAUUUCAGAAACCACAUUAAUGGAACAGCAUCAGAAAGCAUACAAUGUUGUACCAAUUUGUACCUCUUUCACUGAGAGGAUUUAAAUCCACAAAGCUGAGAAUAUGUUACUUUUCUGAGGCAGUAAAACUUACUAAAAUAAAUGUAAAAGGAGGGAGGUGAAAAUUCAGAAGUUAUGUAUAAGAGCAAGCCAUUUCUCAUAGAUAAAUGCUUCAGAGAUGUACUUUCCAUAAAGAAACACCAAGAACACAGUUUGUUACAAGCAAAGUAAGCAUUUGAGAGGAUUUGCGGAAUAAUAAUAUUUUAUAUAAUGAAGCAUAACUUUAUAGUCUUUCUAAUAAUUACAAAUGAAUGGAGAGAAUAUAUCUGAAUGUUCAUAUGAACUGGUCAGAAAACAGGACUUCCAAUUAAUGAAUAAUUUCCUAGUUUUGGGAUUUGUCUUCCUCAGAGGCAUAACUGGGCAGUGCUGCAAGGUGGUGCAUGGGGAAUGGGCAGUGGCCUGUACAGGCUUAAUGGGGAAACCUGUCACUGCAUAAGUUAACAGAGAAGCCAUUACAGAAAUACAUCUUAAGCAACAAUUUAAAAGCCAAAAUUCUGAACCAAAUAAAAGGGAUGGGAAGGGUUAAUCAAUACUUCUCCCUUCAAUGGCAGUUUCCUCUAGCAGAGAACCGCCAGUAAGUGCCAAGCACAGAGUUGCUGCUCUGCCCUCCCUACCCAUCUCACACCCAGCACUGUACCUACCUGCCAGAAUCCCUGCAAGUACAUGGUACAGUAGAGGAAUGAAAAGGUGAAGCACCUGCCCUGCCUUGGCAGUCCCUGGGGCUCCUGCCCAGCUUG